AUCCUCUCACAAUUCUGGAGGCUAGCAGUCCAAGAUCAAAGUGUCAGCAGGGUCGGUUUCUUCUGAGGGCCUCUCUCCUUGGCUUGUAGGUGGCCAUCUUCUCCCUAUAUUUUCAUGUGGCCUUUCUUCUGUGUGUCUGUGUCCUGAUCUCUUCUUGUAAGGACGUCAGUCAUAUUGGAUUAGGGCCCACCCACAUGACUUCGUUGACCUUGAUUACCUUUUUUUUUUUUUCAGGGUCUGGCUCUGUUGCCCAGGCUGGAGUGCAGUAGCACGAUCUCAGCUCACUGCAACCUCUGCCACCCAGGUUCAAGCAAUUCUCCUGUCUCAGGCUCCCGAGUAGCCAGGAUUACAGGUGCCUGCCACCAUGCCCGGCUAAUUUUUGUGUUUUUAGUAGAGACGGGAUUUUGCCAUGUUGGCUAGGCUGGUCUUGAACUCCUGACCUCAGGAGAUCCGCCCACCUCAGCCUACCAAAGUGCUAGGAUUACAGGCAUGAGCCAUGACGCCUGGGCAGUUUAACAUUAAAGGCCCUAAAUUCAAAAACACAGUCACUUUCUGAGGUACUGGAGAUUAGGCUUUCAACAUGUGAAUUUGUAGUGGGAGACACAGUUCAGCCCAUACCAAGCUGUAAGGUCUGGAAGUUCCCCACUGGCCAACUGAGGGAUACGCAUUACAAUGGCAAUGGCGAGCCUGUCCUUAGCACAUGCUACCCGCUGGGUUCCGUGGAGAGUGCUUGACAUGUAUUAGCCCAUUUAACAUUCACAAGCACCCUAUGAAGUAGGUAUGAUUAUCAUCAGCACCUCUUUUUCCAGAGGAGGAAACAGAGGCACCAAGAGACACUGCCCAAAGUCACAAAGAUAAUAAGUGGCAGAACCCAUGAGCUCGGCUUCUACGCAGUGAAUUUCAUCAGCGAUUUCUAGUUUGCUCCACCCUCAACAGAUACCUGAGAAGUAAUGAUGUUGCUGAAUAUUCAAAGGAACAGAUGCGUUUCCCAUCAGCUGCCACUGACUGCAGGCUCUCUCUAAGGUUAGCCUUUAACAUGAGAAGAGUGAGGAGAAAGAAACACACACAGGUACACACAGAGAUGCGCGCGCCCGCACACACACACACCUUCAAACAUGGAUACACGG
RNAcentral lists this long non-coding RNA (1127 nucleotides) under Pongo abelii (Sumatran orangutan). RNAcentral's name for it is "lncRNA (ENSPPYG00000036173.1)". The record is from RNAcentral. Lineage: Eukaryota; Metazoa; Chordata; Mammalia; Primates; Hominidae.